This 460-nucleotide ribosomal RNA is filed under the name uncultured bacterium. RNAcentral's name for it is "partial 16S ribosomal RNA". It matches the Rfam family "Bacterial small subunit ribosomal RNA", at positions 338 to 795 of the family's 1533-position model. The record is from RNAcentral.
CCUACGGGUGGCAGCAGUGAGGAAUAUUGGUCAAUGGGCGCGAGCCUGAACCAGCCAAGUAGCGUGAAGGAUGACUGCCCUACGGGUUGUAAACUUCUUUUAUAAAGGAAUAAAGUGAGGCACGUAUGCCUGUUUGUAUGUACUUUAUGAAUAAGGAUAGGCUAACUCCGUGCCAGCAGCCGCGGUAAUACGGAGGAUCCGAGCGUUAUCCGGAUUUAUUGGGUUUAAAGGGUGCGUAGAUGGUUUGUUAAGUUAGUGGUGAAAGUGUGCGGCUCAACCGGAAAAUUGCAAUUGAUACUGUCAGGCUUGAGUUCAGUUGAGGUAGGCGGAAUUCGUGGUGUAGCGGUGAAAUGCUUAGAUAUCACGAAGAACUCCGAUUGCGAAGGCAGCUUACUAAACUGCCACUGACAUUGAUGCUCGAAAGUGUGGGUAUCAAACAGGAUUAGAUACCCCAGUAGUC